CUUGUAGGCGGCCCGCUAAGUCUGGUGUGAAAUCCCACAGCUUAACUGUGGAGACGCAUUGGAUACUGGCAGGCUGGAAUCCGUGAGAGGAAACUGGAAUUCCUAGUGUAGGGGUGAAAUCUGCUGAUAUUAGGAAGAACACCUGAGGCGAAGGCGAGUUUCUGGCACAGGAUUGACGCUAAUGAGCGAAAGCGUAGGGAGCAAACA
Molecule: ribosomal RNA, 207 nt
Filed under: uncultured bacterium
Lineage: Bacteria
Description: partial 16S ribosomal RNA
Rfam family: Bacterial small subunit ribosomal RNA
Source: RNAcentral